This 89-nucleotide transfer RNA is filed under the name Clostridia bacterium. RNAcentral's name for it is "tRNA-Ser". It matches the Rfam family "tRNA". From Rfam's summary of the family: Transfer RNA (tRNA) molecules are approximately 80 nucleotides in length. Their secondary structure includes four short double-helical elements and three loops (D, anti-codon, and T loops). Further hydrogen bonds mediate the characteristic L-shaped molecular structure. tRNAs have two regions of fundamental functional importance: the anti-codon, which is responsible for specific mRNA codon recognition, and the 3' end, to which the tRNAs corresponding amino acid is attached (by aminoacyl-tRNA synthetases). tRNAs cope with the degeneracy of the genetic code in two manners: having more than one tRNA (with a specific anti-codon) for a particular amino acid; and 'wobble' base-pairing, i.e. permitting non-standard base-pairing at the 3rd anti-codon position. The record is from RNAcentral. Lineage: Bacteria; Bacillati; Bacillota; Clostridia.
GGAGGGAUGGCCGAGUGGUUGAUGGCGCUGGUCUUGAAAACCAGUGAUGCCGAAAGGCACCGGGGGUUCGAAUCCCUUUCCCUCCGCCA